Molecule: ribosomal RNA, 253 nt
Filed under: uncultured bacterium
Lineage: Bacteria
Description: partial 16S ribosomal RNA
Rfam family: Bacterial small subunit ribosomal RNA
Source: RNAcentral
GACGUAGGGCGCGAGCGUUGUCCGGAUUUAUUGGGCGUAAAGAGCUCGUAGGCGGCUCGUUGCGUCGGCUGUGAAAACCCGCAGCUCAACUGUGGGCUUGCAGCUGAUACGGGCGGGCUGGAGUUCGGUAGGGGAGACUGGAAUUCCUGGUGUAGCGGUGAAAUGCGCAGAUAUCAGGAGGAACACCGGUGGCGAAGGCGGGUCUCUGGGCCGAUACUGACACUGAGGAGCGAAAGCCAGGGGAGCAAACGGG